CCUGUUAUUGUUGUAUUUGGGGAGAAUUCGUCGGGAUUCAGUUGUUCAAUAAUAAUUCACUGAAAAUCACAACUUAGGUUGAUAAUGCAGGAAUUAUUCUGGUGUCAUCUGGGGAAUAAACGAGGAACCUUGAAGGGCCCAGGCUGCCCAGGCAGAGAGGAUUGACUAAAGUAGAGGCUCAGUUCUGGGGAAGUUGAUAUAUUUGUUUUUCGCGUUAUUACCCCAACACUGGAAACACCAUCUCACUUGAUUAUUUCAGAAAAAUAAUGUAAAAUAAAUAUCGUCAAAUGCAUGAUCAAACUUUCAUUCGGUAUUACACAAUUUAAUCAUUAUUAAACAAGUAACUUAAUAUUAAUUAUAAGUUGUGAAAUUCGGUGAUUGGCAAUAAAAAUAGUGAUGGAUAACAUAGGUUAA
Molecule: long non-coding RNA, 414 nt
Organism: Fopius arisanus
Lineage: Eukaryota; Metazoa; Arthropoda; Insecta; Hymenoptera; Braconidae
Exons: 2
Source: RefSeq, a predicted model, not a curated record